This 347-nucleotide ribosomal RNA is filed under the name Galeommatoidea sp. MN6764. RNAcentral describes it as "partial 16S ribosomal RNA". It matches the Rfam family "Archaeal large subunit ribosomal RNA", at positions 1985 to 2584 of the family's 2987-position model. Lineage: Eukaryota; Metazoa; Mollusca; Bivalvia; Galeommatida. The record is from RNAcentral.
CCCGGUGAAGUUUUAACGGCCGCAGUUAAGAGCUGUGCUAAGGUAGCGUAGUAAGUUGUCCUUUUAAUGGGGAAAGGAAUGAAUGGUUUGACGUGGGAAUUGCUGUCUCUGGUUAAAUAAAAAAAGUUUUCUUCCUAGUGAAAAGCCUAGGAUUGUUUUAAAAGACGAGAAGACCCUUUCGAGCUUGAUUAAGUUUACUAUUUUAGGGGGCAGAAGUUUGGUUGGGGCAACUUAGGAGCAAAAAUAGACUCCUUGAGGAGCGCAAAGAUCCAAAAAUUUUGAAUAAGGAAAAAGCUACCGUAGGGAUAACAGCGUUAUCUUUUCUGAGAGGACAUAUUGAAGGAAAG